This is a long non-coding RNA of Aethina tumida (small hive beetle), 427 nucleotides long. RefSeq lists it as uncharacterized. Lineage: Eukaryota; Metazoa; Arthropoda; Insecta; Coleoptera; Nitidulidae. The record is from RefSeq and is a predicted model, not a curated record. The transcript is spliced from 2 exons.
GGGGUCUACCACGAACCCGAGUGAGAUAUCUCACCCGGUGAGUUAACUCACUUCUGAAAUCAACGUGGCAACAGCGCAUUUCGUGUUUAUAUUUGGUAAAUUUUAGGGGAAUUCAAAUUUUAGGUUAAUUUAUAUUUACAAAUUUAAAAUUUGACAUCCAAACAAAAUUCAUACAAGUGCAAAAAAUAAUGUUUAAUUAACUUGAAAUGGUUAAAGAAAGGUGUGCAAGUUUGAAAUGUUUUUCUAUCAAGAGUCCGUACAUAAAACAUAUUGAAGCAAAAGAUAAUCGCAAACAACUGCUUUGUUGGUAGGACUCCCCGCUACAAUACAACAUAUUCAUUUAGUUCUUUAUGAAUUAAUAAGAUAUUUUUUUUCGUGGUAAACAUGACGAAUGUUGAGCCAAAUAAACAGCAUUUGUGGUCUGUGA